RNAcentral lists this ribosomal RNA (492 nucleotides) under uncultured bacterium. Its description in RNAcentral is "partial 16S ribosomal RNA". It matches the Rfam family "Bacterial small subunit ribosomal RNA", at positions 28 to 507 of the family's 1533-position model. The record is from RNAcentral.
GGUGAACGCUGGCGGUAGGCCUAACACAUGCGAGUCGAACGGCAGCACAGUAAGAGCUUGCUCUUACGGGUGGCGAGUGGCGGACGGGUGAGGAAUACAUCGGAAUCUACUUUUUCGUGGGGGAUAACGUAGGGAAACUUACGCUAAUACCGCAUACGACCUACGGGUGAAAGCAGGGGAUCUUCGGACCUUGCGCGAUUGGAUGAGCCGAUGUCGGAUUAGCUAGUUGGCGGGGUAAAGGCCCACCAAGGCGACGAUCCGUAGCUGGUCUGAGAGGAUGAUCAGCCACACUGGAACUGAGACACGGUCCAGACUCCUACGGGAGGCAGCAGUGGGGAAUAUUGGACAAUGGGCGCAAGCCUGAUCCAGCCAUACCGCGUGGGUGAAGAAGGCCUUCGGGUUGUAAAGCCCUUUUGUUGGGAAAGAAAAGCAGCAGGUUAAUACCCCGCUGUUCUGACGGUACCCAAAGAAUAAGCACCGGCUAACUUCGUG